Molecule: long non-coding RNA, 719 nt
Filed under: Homo sapiens (human)
Lineage: Eukaryota; Metazoa; Chordata; Mammalia; Primates; Hominidae
Description: HSALNT0395142
Source: RNAcentral
CCAGCAGGGACGUUGGUCCAGCGUGGCCCUCCCAGGCCAGCCCAGGGAUUUACGCUCCGCCCUGGCUCUGCAAGCCCUUUGUGAGUCUCUGGUGGCCAGCUCAGAAUGACCAAAGCAGGGCGGGCUUUCUAUGGUCAUUUCUUUACCGCACAUGACAUAAACCACCCGAGAGCCCCAGUGAACGGCAGGAGAAAUGAACAUCUUUGGGAAAGUUUGGUGGAAAACCAGCCCGUAGAGCCGUGAGAGACACAGGAUUCACUUUUGGCACUCUCGCCUGGCUCAGCCACCUGGAAUCAAGGAAGACAGCACAGUGCUGACCCCACGCUCCUGCCAAUGCUCACUUCCUCCCCUGGGGUCAUUUCCCAGGAGCAGAGCUGCAGGCCGGGGCCUCUGUCUGCCUGUGGUAGGCACCCACACUCAUUCUCAUCUGGUUCCUUGUAAGUCUUCUAUUGCAAAAUCUUCUCAGGACUUGGAGACAUGCUAUUCUCGGUUUCCCCAAUAACAAAAUGAAAGUGCAAAGGUGCCGUGUCAGCAGGUGGGCCGUGGACUUCGCACCUGGGUGAUGGUGAACCUGCCUCCAAAAUUGCCAUGGGUCCAAAGAGGCGCCAAUUCCUGGCAAAACUGAUGACAUUUAUGAAUUUUAUUUCUGGUUGCAACCUGAUUUUGUUAUGGACCUAUACUGACGUCAGUAAUAAACAAUAAUAAGAUUGUAAACUAUU